RNAcentral lists this signal recognition particle RNA (100 nucleotides) under Oscillospiraceae bacterium. Its description in RNAcentral is "signal recognition particle sRNA small type". It matches the Rfam family "Bacterial small signal recognition particle RNA". Rfam says of the family: The signal recognition particle (SRP) is a universally conserved ribonucleoprotein involved in the co-translational targeting of proteins to membranes. Archaeal SRP consists of a 7S RNA and homologues of the eukaryotic SRP19 and SRP54 proteins. The record is from RNAcentral. Lineage: Bacteria; Bacillati; Bacillota; Clostridia; Eubacteriales; Oscillospiraceae.
CGCUUGGCGUCGUGCGGGGUAUAAGCGUGAAUCCUGUCAGGUCCGGAAGGAAGCAGCAGUAAGCGAUAUUAGACCGGCGCUGCGACAUAUCCUGGCGCGA